Molecule: ribosomal RNA, 468 nt
Filed under: uncultured bacterium
Lineage: Bacteria
Description: partial 16S ribosomal RNA
Rfam family: Bacterial small subunit ribosomal RNA
Source: RNAcentral
GACGAACACUGGCGGCGUGCUUAACACAUGCAAGUCGAACGGAAAGGCCCUGCUUUUGUGGGGUGCUCGAGUGGCGAACGGGUGAGUAACACGUGAGUAACCUGCCCUUGACUUUGGGAUAACUUCAGGAAACUGGGGCUAAUACCGGAUAGGAGCUCCUGCUGCAUGGUGGGGGUUGGAAAGUUUCGGCGGUUGGGGAUGGACUCGCGGCUUAUCAGCUUGUUGGUGGGGUAGUGGCUUACCAAGGCUUUGACGGGUAGCCGGCCUGAGAGGGUGACCGGCCACAUUGGGACUGAGAUACGGCCCAGACUCCUACGGGAGGCAGCAGUGGGGAAUAUUGCAAAAUGGGCGGAAGCCUGAUGCAGCAACGCCGCGUGCGGGAUGACGGCCUUCGGGUUGUAAACCGCUUUCGCCUGUGACGAAGCGUGAGUGACGGUAAUGGGUAAAGAAGCACCGGAUAACUAAGUG